UACAGAGGUCCCAAGCGUUGUUCGGAUUCACUGGGCGUAAAGGGUGCGUAGGUGGUUGGGCAAGUCUGAUGUGAAAUCUCCGGGCUUAACCCGGAAAUGGCAUUGGAAACUGCCUGGCUAGAGUGUUGGAGGGGGGGACUGGAAUUCUCGGUGUAGCAGUGAAAUGCGUAGAUAUCGAGAGGAACACCAGUGGCGAAGGCGAGUCCCUGGACAACUCCUGACGCUGAGGCACGAAAGCUAGGGGAGCAAACAGG
Molecule: ribosomal RNA, 254 nt
Filed under: uncultured bacterium
Lineage: Bacteria
Description: partial 16S ribosomal RNA
Rfam family: Bacterial small subunit ribosomal RNA
Source: RNAcentral